RNAcentral lists this ribosomal RNA (166 nucleotides) under uncultured bacterium. RNAcentral describes it as "partial 16S rRNA". It matches the Rfam family "Bacterial small subunit ribosomal RNA", at positions 355 to 511 of the family's 1533-position model. The record is from RNAcentral.
UAGGGAAGUCUUCCACCAAUGGGCGGAAAGCCUGAUGGAGCAACGCCGCGUGUGUGAUGAAGGGUUUCGGCUCGUAAACACUGUUGUAAGAGAAGAAUGACAUUGAGAGUAACUGUUCAAUGUGUGACGGUAUCUUACCAGAAAGGAACGGCUAAAUACGUGCCAG